Molecule: long non-coding RNA, 224 nt
Filed under: Mytilus galloprovincialis (Mediterranean mussel)
Lineage: Eukaryota; Metazoa; Mollusca; Bivalvia; Mytilida; Mytilidae
Source: RNAcentral
CGGUAUAAAUGAUUCAUCUACAUGUUGAUUGGUUUUUUCAUGAAACAAAAAACGGCUUUGGGAAUACACUACUAUAUCAAUUUCACUGACCGUCUUAUUUAGUGCAAGAAUUCAGGUUGUAAAUGUCAGGAAUCAGAGGUUGUAAAAAUGUUUUAAUUUUCAUUGGAAUGUUUCACGUUUUCCCUUCGGUGACUAUGCAUCAGUUGGACUUACUGUGUACUAAU